RNAcentral lists this long non-coding RNA (1846 nucleotides) under Helianthus annuus (common sunflower). Its description in RNAcentral is "hypothetical non coding rna". The record is from RNAcentral. Lineage: Eukaryota; Viridiplantae; Streptophyta; Magnoliopsida; Asterales; Asteraceae.
UUUCAGAUGCAAAUGCUCUAGUUCUCUAGACUAAUUGAUUUUUUUUUAUAUAUAUUUGUUUUUCCACCAACAUCAGUAACGUGUUUAUAAUUUCAUGCCCACAUCAAUUUGAGGUAACUGGCGAGUAGUAAAUCAUAGGAAGUAAGCACUUUUCUUUUCUAUCUAGUGUGUGUAGAUGAUCAUAUACAUGAUUUACAACAAAAGAAACCAAUUAAGAAAACGGGAGUUUAACGAUCCGACAUCUUGAAUAGUAUAUUAAUACAAUAACGACAGUUCCGAUCGCCGGCAAUCGAAUGGAGAAUAGGAUAAUAUAUUAUUGGGGUAACAGAGAUUCGAUUUACCUUAAUCAUCAAACUCGAACUAAACCAGCGCGUGAGCCGUGAGCGGUGACGAUGGCUGCUAUAGAUCACCGGAACUGGUUAACAAGGUAUAAAGCAUAUUUUGAAAGAGGGAAGUAAUGGUGGUCAUGGUACCUGUUCCUCACAGAGAGUUACCAAACUGAUGCCGGUGAAGGGCUGACCCGAACGGAGUAGUUAACAGAAUGUGAGUGGUGAUCGGCUAGAAUAACCGAUCGACAGUGGCUGCCACAGUUUCUGUAACCGGUUAACGAGAUACAAAACAAAGUUCGUAGGAGAAAAGAAAGGAGCGAUCUUGGUACCUGUUCGCAAAUCACAGAACACGAGUGACAGAACUGCUCGCGGCGGCAACUAGUUCUGUCCUGGAGGUGCUGCGAUGAGUGGUGGUUCGUGGCGAGAUGGUAUGCGCUCCGCCAAAAGGGAACAAGGUCGGAACGGUGGCGGCGAUAUCAUCGUUGGUGGUCCAGAAGAUGAAUAGAGGGGUUUAACAAGGGAACAAGCCAGCCUUUGAAAGGGUUUGUAUGGAGCAAAUCGCUGGAAUGAUAUCAAUUAUAUAUAUCUAUGGAACCCAUUAAGUCUAACCACCAUCCAAGUCAAUAUCCACCGUUGGAUCAUGCUGAGAUUAAAUCUUAGCCGUUUAAACUAGCAAAAAUAACCGCACUUGUGGCGGUUCCUGUUAUGGUCGGUUUUUUACAGUCGGUAGUUACCUCCACUUUUUGUUGCCCAUGAUCUCCUACAAACCUGGGUAGUGGUGUUAAUCGGUUGAGGAUUCUUUCUACAAGCAGCGGUUGUGAGAGAGGUUUGCAGCCAGUUAUUUACUUUUAACACUCUCUCUCGUACGCUCUAGCACUUUGGGGUGGUUAUAUUUGCGUUGUUCUAUCUCCUGUAUAUAAUCAAGAUCCCACCUCUCGCUGCCACAAAUCUAAAUCGCAACCCCUACAUACAACUAUAUCUCUGAAAAGUUGAAUUGCUGCUGGCGGAAUUUGAGUUUGGUCAUCAUUGUUAGCCAGAGCUUGAAGAUUCGGUCCUAUCGUAUCCCAUUUUUGCUAAUAGUGUAUACAUAUAUGAUCAUGAUCACCUCAAUUUCGUGAAUAGUUGAAGAAAACGAUUUGCUAUGUAAGAAGAAUCAACAAGCAACUCCACGACAUCAAAUCACAAUGGCUUAAUUUCUGAAAUUCUAUGUUCGCUAAUGGAGAUCAUUCAUUGUGACAAUUUGUGCAUAUGUAGAAUGCAUCAGCAACAGAGUAUGUCUUUCUAAUGCUGUCUCGCCUGGCUAUUAAGAGAAUUAUGAAAGCGGCUAAUGGGUUUGCAGCAAUGGAAGCUUUGUAGAAGACAGAUAAAAGUGAAAGACAAAUUGAUGGAGAAAAGCUGGGAAAACAGAAAUAUCUUUGCAGGAUAUUAGAAAAACGUUCAUAUUAAUCCUGUUGGUAGAAUUACAAGUAAAACCUUGUACUCUUCUUUGAAUUUUAAAUAUUUAGUUCUUUUUCUUU